RNAcentral lists this ribosomal RNA (499 nucleotides) under uncultured bacterium. Its description in RNAcentral is "bacterial SSU rRNA". It matches the Rfam family "Bacterial small subunit ribosomal RNA", at positions 8 to 518 of the family's 1533-position model. The record is from RNAcentral.
AGGGUUCGAUUCUGGCUCAGGAUGAACGCUGGCGGCGUGCCUAACACAUGCAAGUCGAGCGGAGAUAAGUUGAAGCCUAGCGAUUCUUAUCUUAGCGGCGGAUGGGUGAGUAACACGUGGGUAACCUGCCCUGCACUGGGGAAUAACAGCUGGAAACGGCUGUUAAUGCCGCAUAUGCGCACGGAGCCGCAUGGCUUUGGGCGGAAAGAUUUAUCGGUGCAGGAUGGGCCCGCGCCGGAUUAACUAGUUGGCGGGGUAACGGCCCACCAAGGUGAUGAUCCGUAGCCGACCUGAGAGGGUGACCGGCCACAUUGGGACUGAGACACGGCCCAAACUCCUACGGGAGGCAGCAGUGGGGGAUAUUGCACAAUGGGGGAAACCCUGAUGCAGCGACGCCGCGUGAAGGAUGAAGUAUUUCGGUAUGUAAACUUCUAUCAACGGGGAAGAAGAUGACGGUACCCGACUAAGAAGCCCCGGCUAACUACGUGCCAGCAGCAGC